Molecule: long non-coding RNA, 717 nt
Organism: Gossypium arboreum
Lineage: Eukaryota; Viridiplantae; Streptophyta; Magnoliopsida; Malvales; Malvaceae
Exons: 2
Source: RefSeq, a predicted model, not a curated record
AACGUCAUUUGGGAAAUUGACAGCACUUGAAUCAUUAGAUCUCUCAUUUAACAAGCUGAGUGGCAGAAUCCCUUCCGAAUUGACAAAUUUGACAUUUCUUGAAGUGUUAAGGCUUUCAAACAAUAAUCUUGUCGGACCCAUUCCCAGUGGCAAGCAAUUUGAUACAUUUGAAGACGACUCUUAUCUUGGGAACUUGGGUUUGUGUGGACUCCCAUUACCGAAGGAAUGUAACAAUGAUGAAAUACCAGAACCAGCGCAAGAUGAAAAAGAUCAUGGAAAUGGACUUGCUUUUAUUUGGAAACUUGCAAUGAUGGGGUAUGGAUGUGGAAUGGUGUUAGGGAUUAGCAUGGCAUAUAUUGUAUUCACGACUGGAAGACCAUGGUGGCUUGUAAGGAUGAUUGAGAGAGACUUGCGAAACAAAGUUUCAAGUUGGUUUGGGAAGAAAAGAAAGUAGUCCUGCAAAUCCUUCUUCAUAUGAAUGAGUCCGAGAAAAGAUGAAGUAUGUUCUGCAUCCAUAGCUGCUUCUCUCCAUGGAAUAUAUGUUCUGCUAAUGGGUGUUCUUACAGAUAGUUUGCUUUGGUUUUUCAGCUUUCAUAGUAUGGGAUUUUAACAUUUAGCAAGAAGUUGAUUUGUUUUCAAGUUCAGAAAUAAAUUGCAAAACCCACUCUAAUUACUUCUUUAUUUUAAACAAGUGUUUGUGUGCUAAAUUUUAGCUAA